GAUGAACGCUGGCAGAAUGCUUAACACAUGCAAGUCGAAGGCGAAUCUGUUCUUGCACUGGCUUGCCAAGGCGGACGGGGGGGUAACGCGUAGAGAACAUCCCCUGCUGACAGUGAUAACAGACUGAAGCAACUGAUAAUACCAGAUAAAAGUACCGGCACGCAUGUGGCGGGCAAUGGAAAGUGAUGCUGCAGGAGAGUGUUGCGUCCUAUUAGCUUGUUGGUGAGGUGACGGCUCACCACGGCGAUGAUAGGUCGCCGGCCGGAGAGGGUGCACGGCCACAAGGGGACUGAGAUACGGCAGUUACUCAUACGGGAGACCGGAGUGGAGAAUAGUGGACAAUGAGGGCGACUCUGAUCGAGCCCUUCUGUGUGCAAGAAGAAGGUUUUCGGAUUGAAAAGUGCUUGCAGGAGGCAAGGAGAAAGUGACGGUACCUGCAGAAGAAGCGACGGCUAACUACGUG
RNAcentral lists this ribosomal RNA (463 nucleotides) under uncultured bacterium. RNAcentral's name for it is "partial 16S ribosomal RNA". It matches the Rfam family "Bacterial small subunit ribosomal RNA", at positions 28 to 507 of the family's 1533-position model. The record is from RNAcentral.